This 78-nucleotide non-coding RNA is filed under the name human gut metagenome. RNAcentral's name for it is "Cyclic di-GMP-I riboswitch". It matches the Rfam family "c-di-GMP-I riboswitch aptamer". From Rfam's summary of the family: GEMM was predicted in a large-scale screen for bacterial structured RNA regulatory elements. Genes associated with GEMM are involved in a diverse array of functions, including chemotaxis regulation, signal transduction, secretion and chitin. The record is from RNAcentral.
AAUUUGGCAAACUUGCUGAAAAGCAAGGACGCAAAGCUAAGGGUCUAACCCAGAAAUGGUAUGACAGCCGGUUGCCAA